Penaeus vannamei (Pacific white shrimp) is the source of this 359-nucleotide non-coding RNA. The record is from RefSeq and is a predicted model, not a curated record. Lineage: Eukaryota; Metazoa; Arthropoda; Malacostraca; Decapoda; Penaeidae.
CGUCGCCAACCGUUCAUCGUCAGCGUCCGUCAGACACAGGAGGGCGAGAUCGCUCCCGCGACUUCGAACCAAGAUGCUUUCACGGUGAUCGCGAUGGCUGUGGUGGUGGCGCUGACCCUUCUAUCUCUAACGGAGUACUGACAGUAUAAGGUCCCAAGAUGAAUGGUUUCUGAAGCAAGACAAGCACAAGAAUCUUAAGUCCAGCGAGGAAGCGCUUUUCUUCAGUCAUCUUUGAAGAUUCUCAGAAGUGGCCGUUUCACUGCUCAAGAAACCUGCUUCAGAAGACUUAUUAACAAUACCCAUGUGUUGUUAUUGGCGGAUGUUUGUGACGUUUUUUGUUUUUGUUUUUCUUUCUUUUC